RNAcentral lists this ribosomal RNA (154 nucleotides) under Tuber brumale (winter truffle). Its description in RNAcentral is "5.8S ribosomal RNA". It matches the Rfam family "5.8S ribosomal RNA". From Rfam's summary of the family: 5.8S ribosomal RNA (5.8S rRNA) is a component of the large subunit of the eukaryotic ribosome. The record is from RNAcentral. Lineage: Eukaryota; Fungi; Ascomycota; Pezizomycetes; Pezizales; Tuberaceae.
AACUUUCAACAACGGAUCUCUUGGCUCUCGCAUCGAUGAAGAACGCGCACGAAAUGCGAUAAGUAAUGUGAAUUGCAGAAUUCAGUGAAUCAUCGAAUCUUUGAACGCACAUAGCGCCCUUUGGUAUUCCUUAGGGCAUACCUGUUCGAGCGUC